Carassius gibelio (silver crucian carp) is the source of this 1627-nucleotide long non-coding RNA. RefSeq lists it as uncharacterized. The record is from RefSeq and is a predicted model, not a curated record. The transcript is spliced from 3 exons. Lineage: Eukaryota; Metazoa; Chordata; Actinopteri; Cypriniformes; Cyprinidae.
UUUUGAACAUUCUGUUGUUUUUUUUUUUUAAUAUAUAAUAGUUUGUAUUUUAGAUACAUCUUGUUACUCUGAUAAUACUUGUUAGUUCAAUAAAUUGGAACAUGUUAAGCUUGUUGCGCAUUUCAUUAGCAUUGUGUUGGGGCGAUGGGGGUAGGUGGGGCUUUAAAAUUCCCCCUUGUCUAAAGUGGGGAAUGACCAACCACUGGUCUAGUUUAUGCCCGUUUCCAAGAACCGAACUUCCCACGGGUCUGGCUGCAGACCGUGGGUUAGUGGAUUUCCACUCUCGAAUUUCUACGGGAAGUGUUGCCCGGACCAACAUGCCCGGACCAACAUGGCGGCCAUGUCUCUAGUGAAGGUGACGAAUUUCCGCUCUUGAGUGGAGCCAGUGCCACCAUAGAUAUACAUAAUAAAGGCUAGAUGUCUUACGGCGGAGUCUCUAACGUCAUCACAGGCAAGCUCUCUGACGGACUCUACAGUAACUGAUGUAAGGGAUGCACCAGUUGACCGGCCAUAAAUCGGAACCGGCCGGUUUUUGCUUAAAAUACGUGAUCAGUUUUUGUUCUUUGCCCAGCCGAUUUUUCUGGAAGAGAAAUCUGAAUCACCCACCGAAUCAGCAAUCGUGAACAGGAGCACAUUUUGGUGGCUGGAAUAACAACCCUAAUGCCGGCCAGUUGAAGUACAUCUUUAGGAAGCUAAUGGCCCGGUGUGGGGUUGUUAAACCAUGCAGAGUCAAUGUGAUGACACAGGAUGAUCCAGAGACCUUCCCAAGUGUCAUUGACACCUCUACAAUUCUGUCAGCUGUGGAUAUAUCCUCUUCAGCAGGAGGAGAUCAUCUUCCAUCCCCGUUUGCUGACAUUCCUGCCCUAUUACAUGACCACAGCUACCUCCCCGUCCACUUCGAUGGUCUUGUGGACAACGCUCUGGUGUACAUUUCAGUUAAAGGCUGACUGAAAGUCAAUUUUUCAAUAGUGCCAAUAGUCAAAUUCUGGGGGAAAACGAUCUCAAGAGCGUUCAAAAAGAAAAAUGUUCCCUUAAAUUUCACCUGCUUAUUAAUUAUUGUUAUUAUUAUAAGUUAUGAUAUUAUUAUACUAACUCUAAUUUCAGGAUUUGUUGUGCGACGGGCUCUGAAGAAGCUGUGACGCUGCAUCUGUCAUCAAGGACCAGAGCUACCACCUGCUGAUUUUAAAACGCAAUGGAGGUCUGGUGAUUCCCUCAGAAGGCACAGUGAGGGUCAGCAGAGUGGGUCAUUCGUCAGGCAUCAGCCAGUACCAGACAAUCACAGCCCAUCAAACUGCUAGAGGUCAUGUACAUUGUACGGAGGAGCAUAGGGCCAGAGGAUGUGUUUGUGGAAUCGCAGUAUGGCAUAGACGGCCACCACCAUACUCUGUUAACAUUAGCUGUGUCCCUGCACCACAUCGCUAAAUUGACUAACCUUACCUCACAGAGCAACAACAUGCUACUGAACAAAACAGUCUUUUUCAAGGGGCAUAAGCCCUUUUUGUUUAUGUCCUCCACAGUUGUUUAGUUCUCUCUACAGGGUGGGGAUUUCAACAAACCGCAUUUCUUUAUGUAUAUUUGUAAAGGGGAAUCUUUGCAAAUAAAUGUCACUUUUAAAAGAAGUUUAAAA